Molecule: ribosomal RNA, 253 nt
Filed under: uncultured bacterium
Lineage: Bacteria
Description: partial 16S ribosomal RNA
Rfam family: Bacterial small subunit ribosomal RNA
Source: RNAcentral
GACGGAGGAUGCAAGCGUUAUCCGGAAUGAUUGGGCGUAAAGCGUUCGCAGGUGGCUGUUCAAGUCUGCUGUCAAAGACCGGGGCUUAACCCUAGAAAGGCAGUGGAAACUGGACGGCUGGAGUGCAGUAUGGGUAGAGGGAAUUCCCAGUGUAGCGGCGAAAUGCGUAGAGAUUGGGAAGAACUCCGGUGGCGAAAGCGCUCUGCUGGACUGCAACUGACACUGAGGGACGAAAGCUAGGGGAGCGAAAGGG